GGAGGUGGUAGCUCAGUGGUAGAGUGCCUGCUUUGUAUAUUUGAUGUCCUGUGUUCAAUCCCCAGAUUCUCUCCA
This is a non-coding RNA of Dallia pectoralis (Alaska blackfish), 75 nucleotides long. NCBI's taxonomy places the organism in Eukaryota, Metazoa, Chordata, Actinopteri, Esociformes, Umbridae. The record is from the annotation of a GenBank genome assembly.